GUUGUUGCCUUGGAGCUACCAGCGCACGAUUCCACCUCUGACGUUUCAUGCCCGGGUGCUAUUUAUUGGACUCACUCCACUUGAUCUCAAGUGAUGCGAUCAUACAGGUCUGUCUAGCCGCCUCCCUUGUCUGUUUGUAGUCUGCUUUCUGGCAAGUAGUACAAAUUGGUCUAGCCACAGCCCACAGCCGCACAUGUGCCCCUGCAUUCAAACAAAUGGAAUUACGAUUCGAAGUUAGUAGAAAACUGAUAACAUGUUCAGAGUUUUCACAUCACGCAACCAAGUAAACUCCCAUACACAGGGGACACGAAAAUGGCGCAUCCAUGUUUUGAUUGCAUCCGUGUAUUCAACAAUCACAUAGCAUGUUACGUUUCACCUGAAAAAAAAAGAUCACAGAACAUAUUUUACUUGAAGUUUAUUUAUUACCUUAGUGAAUUAUAGAAUAGAACAAUAAUGUAUCUUUUGUUAUGAGAAUGAUUGCAUGAAUAGUACAUCUAGUUCAGGAAAAAAAGGAUCGGGAGAAAAUAUUUGAUAGUUGGAAACCAACUAUAUCAGUUAUAAUAUUCUAAUAUGCUAAUUAUUUCCUUAAUGAAAUGCUCACUAUAUAUAUUCAGAAGUAUAACAGAGUUACAUAGGUGUUACUCUACUGAUUUGGCUCUGCUUCUCCUGUUUGCAAAGAGGAUUUUCUUAUUUCUGCUAUCUGGCAGUUCUUAUCUAAUAAUGGUUAUCAUUUGCCAUUGAUAAUAUUAUCUCGUAGUUUAAUUCUGCUUAUAGCGCAUGAUUUGAUUUCAUUCACCGUCCAUUAUUUAGCUACUUCAACGUCCUACUAGCCUUGCUAUCUCUAAGGAGAAACAUAAAUGUCGAAUGAUGUUGCCAUUCCUGACACUGAAAAAUGGUCAUGUUUUUCAGGCCCAACAGGUGUUACCUUUGAUAAAGAAUGCAGAUCAUGUACUAUCUCUUUGUCCAUUUCAGGGGAGAGCAUUUCAAAGGAAUCAUGGACUGGAGGUGUAAGGUUACAUGACAAGCUAUUUUGCUCACGCAGUUUGAUGAAAAAAUUCAUGAAGUCCACUUCCUUGUUUAUUUGGCUCAUGAUUAAUGUUUUUUUAACUUCCAAAUGUUGGCUAGCAAUUGAUAUUCUAUGAUUAAACAUGUCAUAAUCCAU
This 1162-nucleotide long non-coding RNA is filed under the name Triticum aestivum (bread wheat). RNAcentral's name for it is "long non-coding RNA (TAES_LNC009956)". The record is from RNAcentral. Lineage: Eukaryota; Viridiplantae; Streptophyta; Magnoliopsida; Poales; Poaceae.